AUCAACUUUCGAUGGUAGGAUAGAGGCCUACCAUGGUGGUAACGGGUAACGGGGUGUUAGGGCACGACACCGGAGAGGGAGCCUGAGAAACGGCUACCACAUCCAAGGAUGGCAGCAGGCGCGCAAAUUACCCAAUCCCGACACGGGGAGGUAGUGACAAUAAAUAACAAUACGGGGUCCUUUCGGGUUUCGUAAUUGGAAUGAGUACAAUUUAAAUCUCUUAACGAGGAACAAUUGGAGGGCAAGUCUGGUGCCAGCAGCCGCGGUAAUUCCAGCUCCAAUAGCGUAUAUUAAAGUUGUUGCAGUUAAAAAGCUCGUAGUUGAAUUUCGGGAUCAGUACGCUGGUCGUGCCUUCGGUAUGCACUGGUGUCACUGGUUCCUCCCUUCUGAAGAACUGUCAUGCCAUUCAGUUGGUGUGGCGGGAAAUCAGGACUGUUACUUUGAAAAAAUUAGAGUGUUUAAAGCAGGCUCGCGCUUGAAUACAUUAGCAUGGAAUAAUGAAAUAGGACGUUUGAUCCUAUUUUGUUGGCUUCUAGGAUCGACGUAAUGAUUAAUAGGGAUAGUUGGGGGCAUUAGUAUUCAAUUGUCAGAGGUGAAAUUCUUGGAUUUAUUGAAGACUAACUACUGCGAAAGCAUUUGCCAAGGAUGUUUUCAUUAAUCAAGAACGAAAGUUAGGGGAUCGAAGACGAUCAGAUACCGUCGUAGUCUUAACCAUAAACUAUGCCGACUAGGGAUCGGAUGAUGUUAUUUUUAAUGACUCAUUCGGCGCCUUACGGGAAACCAAAGUGUUUGGGUUC
Molecule: ribosomal RNA, 797 nt
Filed under: uncultured Glomeromycotina
Lineage: Eukaryota; Fungi; Glomeromycota
Description: SSU rRNA
Rfam family: Eukaryotic small subunit ribosomal RNA
Source: RNAcentral